AAUAUUGGACAAUGGGCGAAAGCCUGAUCCAGCCAUGCCUCGUGUGUUAAGAAGGUCUUCGGAUUGUAAAGCACUUUAAGUCGGGAGGAAGGGCAGUAAGAUAAUACCUUGCUGUUUUGACGUUACCGACAGAAUAAGCACCGGCUAACUUCGAGCCAGCCGCCGCGGUAAUACGGAGGUUGCAAGCGUUAAUCGGAAUUACUGGGCGUAAAGGUCGCGUAGGUGGUUUGUUAAGUUGGAAGUGAAAGCCCCGGGCUCAACCUGGGAACUGCUUUAAAAACUGGCAAGCUAGAGCAUGGCAGAGGGUGGUGGAAUUUCCUGUGUAGCGGUGAAAUGCGUAGAUAUAGGAAGGAACACCAGUGGCGAAGGCGACCACCUGGGCUAAUACUGACACUGAGGUGCGAAAGCGUGGGGAGCAGAC
Molecule: ribosomal RNA, 421 nt
Filed under: uncultured bacterium
Lineage: Bacteria
Description: partial 16S ribosomal RNA
Rfam family: Bacterial small subunit ribosomal RNA
Source: RNAcentral